GAAUAUUGCACUAUGGGCGAAAGCCUGAUGCAGCAACGCCGCGUGAGCGAUGAAGGCCUUCGGGUCGUAAAGCUCUGUCCUAAGGGAAGAAUUUUGACGGUACCUUGGGAGGAAGCCCCGGCUAACUACGUGCCAGCAGCCGCGGUAAUACGUAGGGGGCAAGCGUUAUCCGGAAUCACUGGGCGUAAAGGGUGCGUAGGCGGCCUUGCAAGUCAGAGGUGAAAGGCUACGGCUCAACCGUAGUAAGCCUUUGAAACUGUAGGGCUUGAGUGCAGGAGAGGAAAGUGGAAUUCCUAGUGUAGCGGUGAAAUGCGUAGAUAUAGGAGGAACACCAGUGGCGAAGGCGACGUUCUGGACUGUAACUGACGCUGAGGCACGAAAGUGUGGGGAGCAAACAG
Molecule: ribosomal RNA, 398 nt
Filed under: uncultured bacterium
Lineage: Bacteria
Description: partial 16S ribosomal RNA
Rfam family: Bacterial small subunit ribosomal RNA
Source: RNAcentral